ACACCGAACAAACUAAUAACAAAUCAAUUUAAACAAUCCAGACACACCAUAAAAAGGUACCCAAAUGUUCAAAACAACAAAUAAAGUGUUCAAAACAUUAAUUUAAAGUGCAAGAAAGAAAAAGUAACUGAAUGAAUGAAUUGUUGAAUGAUCAAUCUUCUUGCUCUUCAUCGGUAAAGUACAUCUCCUCUCCACCAUCAUGGGCAGCAUUGCUACCACUGUCUACCUCUCCACCUUGUGCUCUGUCCCCAGGCCACUAAUUAUGUGUAUCAAAGGCUUCAUAUGAACCGCCAAGAAAGUUGGGAUGUGUUCCAUAAAUACCAUUGACGCUUUGGUAUACUCCCAUAAAUCCUCGGUAGCAUGCAUAUAAUUUUUUUAUCUUAGACAUUUUCUCUUGCUUCUAGAGCUUCAAACUGAGCAUUGUUUUGGGCCAUGUAGAGUUCCAUGGAUGACUCCUAUUAAGUAGGUGGUGGUUGUAUAUGAGUCUCAGACGAUUGGCUUUCUUUUCCUUUCUUUUUUCAUAGCUCGACCUUGACCGAGGUUAAGCUUCUCUCUUUGUUGUAGUUGUUGAUAUAUGCAGCAUUGAUUUAUGAUUUCAAAGCCGAAAUCUCAUUAAAUGACUCUGCCACUUGUUGGUACUUUAAUAAAUCAUUGGUCAAGGAAUGUAAGAUCAUGGUAGUUGCCAUUUUCUUGAUGCACUCAUGAAUGGCAUCAUAGACUACAAUAGAUAUAUCAAUAGAAUCAUCAUAAAAUACGGAGUAAAUCAACUUUGUCGUUAGCACUAGCAAAUCAUAAACAUGAGAAGCAUGCCAUAUAUUUGACAAAAUAAAAGUGGUCCAGAUUUGGGUUAAUUGAUUCUUGCUAAAUUUUAAAAUUGGACAUUCUCUUGUUGUUGCUCUCUUUUGUGGCUCCAAGCCUUAAAUGCAAAGACUUGUGUGGACAUCCAUCUCAUUGUGGGCACCUUCGCUUCCUUCCUUACUUGCCAAGACCUUCUAUUGGUAUUUGCACAAGUCACCAUAUUGAUUGGGUUGAAUCAUCCAUGGUGAUCGUAAAGCAUGCACUGCUGAUAAACUUAUCAUAGAAAACUUGGACUCCAUUCACCUAUGUAUAUCGGUUUACUUGGGCCUCCUUGGAGAUGAAAGCAUUGGCAUAAAAUUUCUUAACUAUAUCAACAUAAAUGUUUUGCUUGGUCGAGUCAAUUUUAGCCAACCAUAUUUUUCAACUAAAACAGUGAAUUCAUUUUCUUUUAAGUUAGAUCUUCAUAUUUUACCUUGGUGUAUCUUGAUUUGUCAUUGUUGCUCGUGAAUAGGUUCUCAUCUUGCUCAUGAUUAGAGUCAGGAUCAGGCACAACAUUCUUGCCUUUCUGAGCACGCGUUUUCUGGCCCUGCAAAUAAAUUUAGUAGUUGCAAUAUUCAAGUUUUUGGGUUAGCCAAACAAAAAUCAUGCCACAAUUUAGACCUUUGAUUGCUUAAAUAGACCGGAGCUCCAAACAUGGCAAGAAAUUGUUAGCGUGUUUUCAAAUUUUUGUGUUCACGGUUUCAUGGUUUUCAAAGCACAUUUUAUGUUUGCUUAUUUAAUCAUGUCAUCUAUGUGCAUCUAUAUGAAUGACUAAACAACAAUUUUAACAUUCCAAAAUUAAUACAAAGAGCAUGUAUAAUUCAUACAAAAUCAAGCAUAAUGAAUAAGCAAGCUAAUCACAUCACAAUCGGUUUCAUACACCAAAAACGUGUUGUUAUCCCACCAAACAUCAGCCCUUUAUGUUACUCAAUCAAAAUAUUAUGAGUUCCAACACCAUAUAGCAAGAAUCAUGGCGGUUUAUAAUGCAAUAUGGAAAGCACAUGAUAUAUGGUUCAACCGAAUUUGCUAAGUGUAAAAUAGCCAAAGAUUUUCAAAGUUUUAGUGUGAAAAUUCCUCAGUUAGUGGUACAUGCCAUUCUUAUAAACUUAUUUCAGAAGUUGAACAAUGAACAACAAGUUCAUAAUGAGUAAUAACGUUGUCAAUCAACAACUAAUAGUGCAUGUACUUUCGCUAGGUACUCAAAAACAAUUUGUAACAUGAAACAUUUCCACUUGAGCACCUACAAAUGACUCUUAGAACUUAAAUUUUAGGUUUAUUUUGAAAAGAGAAGAAUGAAGAAAUUAGAAGUAAAUAAGCACUUACAUGGUGUGCAUAUGAGAAUUUGUUGAAAAUUUUGUGUUUUGGGGAAGAAGUUUUGAAGAGAGAGAGAUGCAAAGACUUGGGUGUUUUCAAUUUUGGGUUUGUGUGGAUGAGAGUGUAAAGGGACAAGGGUGAAAUCCACUUUAUGGAUGAGGGGCAGAUUCUCCCAGGAUACCCUUGCAAGCCCGACACGCUUAGUGGUCAAAUUUCCAUAUAGAUGUGUGGCCUUGGCAUUGGCACAUUUGGCCUUGGCAUUGGCACAUUUGGCCUUGGCC
Molecule: long non-coding RNA, 2432 nt
Filed under: Lupinus angustifolius (narrow-leaved blue lupine)
Lineage: Eukaryota; Viridiplantae; Streptophyta; Magnoliopsida; Fabales; Fabaceae
Description: long non-coding RNA (LANG_LNC003001)
Source: RNAcentral